CGGAUAGAAGUAUUAUUAGUAUGUUAGGUUUGGGGCUUAAAGGUUGUGUUUUAAAAAUGCGCUAUUCGU
This 69-nucleotide transfer RNA is filed under the name Catillopecten margaritatus. RNAcentral's name for it is "Catillopecten sp. m YTL-2023 tRNA-Pro". Lineage: Eukaryota; Metazoa; Mollusca; Bivalvia; Pectinida; Propeamussiidae. The record is from RNAcentral.